RNAcentral lists this long non-coding RNA (768 nucleotides) under Homo sapiens (human). Its description in RNAcentral is "long non-coding RNA NONHSAT230788". The record is from RNAcentral. Lineage: Eukaryota; Metazoa; Chordata; Mammalia; Primates; Hominidae.
UGUGAACCAAAUGGCCGAGUGACAAUUACCUGACAAUCACCUCCCCUUUCUCGUUAUCUCUUUUACCUAAUAAAUUUGGAAGGCUGAAAAAGCUCAGGGCCCUUGUCCACUAGAGGCAAGGUGCCCCUUUACCCCUUCUUCCAAAUAUACUCUUUUGUCUUUGUCUUUUAUUCCCGCGUUCAUCUUCCUUUGUUCAGUCCACCAGGGAUUGUGGUCAGUUACACUAUCUCACUUAAUUUUCACCAUCACUUAACUAGGUAGAUACUCUGAAUGCCCCUGUUAUUAUUAACACCCUUAUUCUACACUUGAAGGAGCUGAGGCUUUGAGAGGAUAAGCAAUUCAAGUCACACAAAGGCUGCAUGUUGUCCAGUUCCAGAGGGUACAAUCAUAUCAUCGACUAGGAGAUAGCACCCCUUGGAGGUGAGGAGUCCACACUUGGCACAGUUAACACAAUCGUCCUGUGGGUGACAUGCAGUGCUAACAUUCAGGUUCAGAUCCUUGUGACUCUAGACACCAGGUGCUCUCUGUGCUAUAUAUAAAAGAAGUUGGAGGCCCUGUUGUAAGGAACGAACACAAUUCCUAAUUCUAGAGGACAGAAAAGUAAGUCCUGUUAACAGCCUUCAACGUGGAAUCUGUAGAGAACUUGUAUUAUCUCAGGAUCUUCUCAUUUGAAAAUGAAAAUGGUCACACCCACCCUUUUCUUAUGAUGCAAAUCACUGGUCAGUAUUUUCAUUUUCCAGCAGUCUUCAAAGCUGUAAUCCAGAAGGA